Molecule: long non-coding RNA, 653 nt
Filed under: Gallus gallus (chicken)
Lineage: Eukaryota; Metazoa; Chordata; Aves; Galliformes; Phasianidae
Description: long non-coding RNA NONGGAT002190
Source: RNAcentral
GCCCUUCUCUCAGACAAAGCAUCCGGCCGCUUUACCCGGGAGGACGGCGGGCGCUCGGACUCCGCGGUCGGUGUCGCUCCGGGUGGGCUGGGGGGCAUUAUGUGCUCGGGGCGACCCUCUCCUGUUGGGAGAAGCGCGGCCGGCAGGUGCCUGGGGAGCGGCGCGGACCCGACGGCACCGCUCUGUGCCUCCUCCCCGCCCGGCUUCGGCCGCACGACAAAGUGCGGUGGGGCGGCCGCAGGAGAAAGGAGCAGAGCAGCGGUUUGUCCCGCUUUGGCUCUCGUUUCUCCGAAAGCCUGUGGUGCUCUCCUCGUGGAGUCGGACGGGGAUACGGCUCAGAGACGUCUCUCUGCUUUUCUACCCUCACCUCCUGUCGUUCCGUGAAUGAAACGCUCGGCAUCCGCGGGCAUCCCUGUGAGACUCCACGAGGGACUGCAAACCCAGGCAGCCACGGCCGUGCUGGGGAAUGAGGCAGAGCAUUUCCCACCUGCUCAGCUGCAGCGAGGAUGCCUCGAUGCCGACGAGGAAGCGGCAGUCGCAUCAGCAAAACACGAGUAGCGGCUGGAGCCUCAUCUGUGCCACGGCUCCUGCCAGCACAGCUGUACCACUGACAGCAGCGGAACAUUUUGCUCAAGUUCUCUAGAGGAAUCAAA